RNAcentral lists this ribosomal RNA (497 nucleotides) under uncultured bacterium. RNAcentral describes it as "partial 16S ribosomal RNA". It matches the Rfam family "Bacterial small subunit ribosomal RNA", at positions 28 to 507 of the family's 1533-position model. The record is from RNAcentral.
GAUGAACGCUGGCGGCGUGCCUAAUACAUGCAAGUCGAGCGAACAGACGAGGAGCUUGCUCCUCUGACGUUAGCGGCGGACGGGUGAGGAACACGUGGAUAACCUAGCUAAGAGACUGGGAUAACUUCGGGAAAACGGAGCUAAUACCGGCAAAUAAAUUGAAGCGCAUGGUUCAAUAGUGAAAGACGGCUUUGCUGUUACUUAUAGAUGGAUCCCCGCCGCAUUAGCUAGUUGGUAGGGUAACGGCUUACCAAGGCGACGAUGCGUAGCGGACCUGAGAGGAUGAUCAGCCACACUGGAACUGAGACACGGUCCAGACUCCUACGGGAGGCAGCAGUCGGGAAUAUUACGCAAUGGGCGAAAGCCUGACGGAGCAACGCCGCGUGAGUGAAGAAGGACUUCGGGUCGUAAAACUCUCUUAUUAGGAAAGAACUAAUGCGUGAGUAUAUAAGCACGCCAUGACGGUACCCAAUCAGAAAGCCACGGCUAACUUCGUG